UCCUUGGCGGUCCAGUGGCUAAGACACUGCAUUCCCAGUGCAGGGGGCCAGGGUUCAAUUCUUGGUCAGGGAG
This 73-nucleotide transfer RNA is filed under the name Bos taurus (domestic cattle). It matches the Rfam family "tRNA". From Rfam's summary of the family: Transfer RNA (tRNA) molecules are approximately 80 nucleotides in length. Their secondary structure includes four short double-helical elements and three loops (D, anti-codon, and T loops). Further hydrogen bonds mediate the characteristic L-shaped molecular structure. tRNAs have two regions of fundamental functional importance: the anti-codon, which is responsible for specific mRNA codon recognition, and the 3' end, to which the tRNAs corresponding amino acid is attached (by aminoacyl-tRNA synthetases). tRNAs cope with the degeneracy of the genetic code in two manners: having more than one tRNA (with a specific anti-codon) for a particular amino acid; and 'wobble' base-pairing, i.e. permitting non-standard base-pairing at the 3rd anti-codon position. Lineage: Eukaryota; Metazoa; Chordata; Mammalia; Artiodactyla; Bovidae. RNAcentral also lists the same sequence under 2 other names. The record is from Rfam by way of RNAcentral.